UGUACAAACAAAGUUGAAUAACCAAUCAAAGCGUAAUAAUAAACAAUACGAAGAGAGUGAUAGAUCUUCCCGUGGAGACAACGAACGGAUGGUAAGGGUCUGAUACCGAAUUAGCAAAGUCGGACGUUAGAACAGCAGAAACGGAGAAAAGAAAUGACCUAAACCGCGUUCUAUUUUGAACGAAAAUGGUAUUAAUUUUAUUGUUUUGCCUUUGAUAUCAAUAAGUUAGGAGCUUA
This 236-nucleotide unclassified non-coding RNA is filed under the name Hevea brasiliensis (rubber tree). The record is from RNAcentral. Lineage: Eukaryota; Viridiplantae; Streptophyta; Magnoliopsida; Malpighiales; Euphorbiaceae.